RNAcentral lists this ribosomal RNA (1477 nucleotides) under uncultured bacterium. RNAcentral's name for it is "bacterial SSU rRNA". It matches the Rfam family "Bacterial small subunit ribosomal RNA". The record is from RNAcentral.
GAUGAACGCUAGCUACAGGCUUAACACAUGCAAGUCGAGGGGCAGCAUGAGCUUAGCUUGCUAAGUUUGAUGGCGACCGGCGCACGGGUGAGUAACACGUAUCCAACCUGCCGAUGACUCGGGGAUAGCCUUUCGAAAGAAAGAUUAAUACCCGAUGGCAUAGUUCUUCCGCAUGGUAGAACUAUUAAAGAAUUUCGGUCAUCGAUGGGGAUGCGUUCCAUUAGGUUGUUGGCGGGGUAACGGCCCACCAAGCCUUCGAUGGAUAGGGGUUCUGAGAGGAAGGUCCCCCACAUUGGAACUGAGACACGGUCCAAACUCCUACGGGAGGCAGCAGUGAGGAAUAUUGGUCAAUGGACGAGAGUCUGAACCAGCCAAGUAGCGUGAAGGAUGACUGCCCUAUGGGUUGUAAACUUCUUUUAUACGGGAAUAAAGGAGGCACGUGUGCCUUUUUGUAUGUACCGUAUGAAUAAGGAUCGGCUAACUCCGUGCCAGCAGCCGCGGUAAUACGGAGGAUCCGAGCGUUAUCCGGAUUUAUUGGGUUUAAAGGGAGCGUAGGCGGACGCUUAAGUCAGUUGUGAAAGUUUGCGGCUCAACCGUAAAAUUGCAGUUGAUACUGGGUGUCUUGAGUACAGUAGAGGCAGGCGGAAUUCGUGGUGUAGCGGUGAAAUGCUUAGAUAUCACGAAGAACUCCGAUUGCGAAGGCAGCCUGCUGGACUGUAACUGACGCUGAUGCUCGAAAGUGUGGGUAUCAAACAGGAUUAGAUACCCUGGUAGUCCACACAGUAAACGAUGAAUACUCGCUGUUUGCGAUAUACAGUAAGCGGCCAAGCGAAAGCGUUAAGUAUUCCACCUGGGGAGUACGCCGGCAACGGCGAAACUCAAAGGAAUUGACGGGGGCCCGCACAAGCGGAGGAACAUGUGGUUUAAUUCGAUGAUACGCGAGGAACCUUACCCGGGCUUGAAUUGCAACUGAAUGAUGUGGAGACAUUCAGCCGCAAGGCAGUUGUGAAGGUGCUGCAUGGUUGUCGUCAGCUCGUGCCGUGAGGUGUCGGCUUAAGUGCCAUAACGAGCGCAACCCUUAUCGAUAGUUACCAUCAGGUGAUGCUGGGGACUCUGUCGAGACUGCCGUCGUAAGAUGUGAGGAAGGUGGGGAUGACGUCAAAUCAGCACGGCCCUUACGUCCGGGGCUACACACGUGUUACAAUGGGGGGUACAGAAGGCAGCUACACGGCGACGUGAUGCUAAUCCCGAAAGCCUCUCUCAGUUCGGAUUGGAGUCUGCAACCCGACUCCAUGAAGCUGGAUUCGCUAGUAAUCGCGCAUCAGCCACGGCGCGGUGAAUACGUUCCCGGGCCUUGUACACACCGCCCGUCAAGCCAUGAAAGCCGGGGGUACCUGAAGUGCGUAACCGCAAGGAGCGCCCUAGGGUAAAACUGGUGAUUGGGGCUAAGUCGUAACAAGGUAGCCGUACCGGAAGG